GGUAACCUGCCCUCCCUUCAUUUUCUUCCCAUAUUUUUUUUCUCGAACAAUUUUUAUUCACCAUUCAUCAUAAUACAUCAUAAUACAUUAUCACAAAUCACCAUCAUCCGUAACUAUCCACCACCGUUAUCACUGCCACCGGCCGAUGUCACCACCAUGCACCACAUUCAUCCGCCAUCGUCACCACCAUUCUCUACUGUCACCUAUAACCAUCAGAUCUACCUCCUACCACCAUUCAUCACCGUCACCACCGCCACCUACCACCAGUAGAUCUACUACACUACCACAUGACCAACAUAUCCACCAUCUACACCUAUCACCACUACUACAUACAUCACCAUUAUCAACCACGCACCAUACUAGAUCUACCAUCCGCUACCUUCACCGGAAUGCAUCACCACCUUUAUCCAUCCACCCAUCACCGCACCCAACCAUCAGAUCACUACCAAAUCCAAACCAUGGCCAAAUUAAAAAAUUAACAUGAGAAGUUAGUGGAGAGAGAAGAGAGAAGGAAAAGAAGAAGGGAAGAAAAGGAGAGAGAUCGAUC
Molecule: long non-coding RNA, 547 nt
Filed under: Panax ginseng (ginseng)
Lineage: Eukaryota; Viridiplantae; Streptophyta; Magnoliopsida; Apiales; Araliaceae
Description: long non-coding RNA (PGIN_LNC009433)
Source: RNAcentral